RNAcentral lists this ribosomal RNA (433 nucleotides) under uncultured bacterium. Its description in RNAcentral is "partial 16S ribosomal RNA". It matches the Rfam family "Bacterial small subunit ribosomal RNA", at positions 29 to 507 of the family's 1533-position model. The record is from RNAcentral.
AGCGAACGCUGGCGGCAGGCCUAACACAUGCAAGUCGAACGGAUCCUUCGGGAUUAGUGGCGGACGGGUGAGUAACACGUGGGAACGUGCCCUUUGGUUCGGAACAACUCAGGGAAACUUGAGCUAAUACCGGAUGUGCCCUUCGGGGGAAAGAUUUAUCGCCAUUGGAUCGGCCCGCGUCUGAUUAGCUAGUUGGUGAGGUAACGGCCCACCAAGGCGACGAUCAGUAGCUGGUCUGAGAGGAUGAUCAUCCACACUGGGACUGAGACACGGCCCAGACUCCUACGGGAGGCAGCAGUGGGGAAUCUUGCGCAAUGGGCGAAAGCCUGACGCAGCCAUGCCGCGUGAAUGAUGAAGGUCUUAGGAUUGUAAAAUUCUUUCAGCGGGGACGAUAAUGACGGUACCCGCAGAAGAAGCUCCGGCUAGCUUCGUG